GCCUGGGUGGCUCAGUCGGUUAAGCAUCUGACUUCAGCUCAGGUCAUGAUCUCAUGGUUCGUGGGUUCGAGCCCCGCGUCGGGCU
Molecule: transfer RNA, 85 nt
Filed under: Felis catus (domestic cat)
Lineage: Eukaryota; Metazoa; Chordata; Mammalia; Carnivora; Felidae
Also listed under: 2 other names
Rfam family: tRNA
About the family: Transfer RNA (tRNA) molecules are approximately 80 nucleotides in length. Their secondary structure includes four short double-helical elements and three loops (D, anti-codon, and T loops). Further hydrogen bonds mediate the characteristic L-shaped molecular structure. tRNAs have two regions of fundamental functional importance: the anti-codon, which is responsible for specific mRNA codon recognition, and the 3' end, to which the tRNAs corresponding amino acid is attached (by aminoacyl-tRNA synthetases). tRNAs cope with the degeneracy of the genetic code in two manners: having more than one tRNA (with a specific anti-codon) for a particular amino acid; and 'wobble' base-pairing, i.e. permitting non-standard base-pairing at the 3rd anti-codon position.
Source: Rfam by way of RNAcentral